AUGGGAAAUGAUGAUCAGCUUCAAUCUUUGCUCAGCAGAUCGGGCAUGAUUACACAUGGCCAUAUGGGUGAUCGUGUUGGUCCAGUUGGCACAGGGGAGGCUGGUCAUACUUCUGUGGCAUCUGGACCUGCCAGUCGAUGCCCAGUUAAUUGGAGCAUGAAUCUGGAUCGACAGGAGGCUCUUGAUGCAAUGGAUAACACAGCAGAAGUUCACCUGGACUCUGUAUACUUGAGGGCAGGUGCUGAUCACAACCCUCAGGGCAUUUCUUCCACAAUCAGCCCCUUCCUUCAGGGCACCCAGAGCAGUUUCCACCUCUCUCAGGUACUUCAGGAAUCACAUAAUAAAACAGAGCAAGCGAUCGACCUGGGCCAUACUGUGGAUCUCGGUGCCCUGGGCUUGCGUGGUGGCCCUUGUGGGGAUUCUCCAGUUCUCAAUGAGCAGCAGAGCACCAGCAGUAAAGACGAUCAACCUGGAGAGUCUCUGGAUGCUAGGUACCUUUCCCAGAGCUUUAAUGAGAAUCAUGAAGAACAUGAUGUUUGGAAUCACCAUACAGACAAUGUGGGGCUUGAGUUACAGCAAGGCGCAAAUGCCACUCAAAGUGUGGUCUACCAGAAUGAAGAGGGAAAGUGGGUCACUGAUUUGGCCUAUUACUCUUCCUUCGAAAAGGAAAUGGAAGCAAAUAUGCCUGAGGAAGUUGCUAUGCCGUUUCAGUCUGAAGAUUUUCUUGCUGGAAGUAAGUGAAAUGCAGUAAUGUUCUCAUUCUUAAUGAAAAUUAGUUUUUGGGUUA
Molecule: long non-coding RNA, 787 nt
Filed under: Sinocyclocheilus rhinocerous
Lineage: Eukaryota; Metazoa; Chordata; Actinopteri; Cypriniformes; Cyprinidae
Description: lncRNA (ENSSRHG00000016034.1)
Source: RNAcentral